ACGAAGGGUGCAAGCGUUACUCGGAAUUACUGGGCGUAAAGCGUGCGUAGGUUGUUCGUUAAGUCCGAUGUGAAAUCCCCGAGCUCAACUCGGGAACUGCGUCCGAUACUGGCGGGCUUGAAUCCGGGAGAGGGAUGCGGAAUUCCAGGUGUAGCGGUGAAAUGCGUAGAUAUCGGGAGGAACACCAGUGGCGAAGGCGGCGACCUGGACGGACACUGACGCUGAGACGCGAAAGCGUGGGGAGCAAACAGGA
This 253-nucleotide ribosomal RNA is filed under the name uncultured prokaryote. Its description in RNAcentral is "partial 16S ribosomal RNA". It matches the Rfam family "Bacterial small subunit ribosomal RNA", at positions 525 to 777 of the family's 1533-position model. The record is from RNAcentral.